UCAAAUGUUAAGUUCACUGUGUAUCCCUUGUAGUUAAAAUAAAUAAAUAUAAUAACCUUUAUGUUAUUCAUACGUAUUUGUGUACUGCGUUUACGGGAAUUCUUUUUAAGAUCUUCCCAUUUU
Molecule: non-coding RNA, 123 nt
Organism: Bombyx mori (domestic silkworm)
Lineage: Eukaryota; Metazoa; Arthropoda; Insecta; Lepidoptera; Bombycidae
Source: RefSeq, marked provisional